Molecule: non-coding RNA, 151 nt
Filed under: Pseudorhodoferax sp. Leaf267
Lineage: Bacteria; Pseudomonadati; Pseudomonadota; Betaproteobacteria; Burkholderiales; Comamonadaceae
Also listed under: 1 other name
Description: ZMP/ZTP riboswitch aptamer (pfl RNA motif)
Rfam family: ZMP/ZTP riboswitch aptamer (pfl RNA motif)
About the family: Previously known as pfl RNA.
Source: Rfam by way of RNAcentral
GCGCCCGUGCGCAACUGGCGAUAGGCAGAGGUCGACGCAGACCCUUUGCUGACGUGGGCCCGCAGGACAUUUCUGCUCCUGGACAACCACUGGGAAGCGCACCGCGAGAUCUCCGAUCCACCGCGUUCAGCCGUUCGCCUGGGCAGCCCUU